UACGUAGGUCCCGAGCGUUGUCCGGAUUUAUUGGGCGUAAAGCGAGCGCAGGUGGUUUAUUAAGUCUGGUGUAAAAGGCAGUGGCUCAACCAUUGUAUGCAUUGGAAACUGGUAGACUUGAGUGCAGGAGAGGAGAGUGGAAUUCCAUGUGUAGCGGUGAAAUGCGUAGAUAUAUGGAGGAACACCGGUGGCUAAAGCGGCUCUCUGGCCUGUAACUGACACUGAGGCUCGAAAGCGUGGGGAGCAAACAGG
This 252-nucleotide ribosomal RNA is filed under the name uncultured bacterium. Its description in RNAcentral is "partial 16S ribosomal RNA". It matches the Rfam family "Bacterial small subunit ribosomal RNA", at positions 524 to 776 of the family's 1533-position model. The record is from RNAcentral.